Molecule: unclassified non-coding RNA, 1331 nt
Filed under: Nilaparvata lugens (brown planthopper)
Lineage: Eukaryota; Metazoa; Arthropoda; Insecta; Hemiptera; Delphacidae
Description: protein couch potato, transcript variant X6
Source: RNAcentral
GCGUCGGGUCAGUCUGACGCCAGAGCUUGUAGCGAGUGGUUGUUGUCUGGUUAGCAGGAGCGAACGCGCGUUGUUCUCACGUUGUGUGCACCGUUUUUGACAGGUUGUGAGGUCCGUGGCAUGGUGUGACUGUGACUGUCUACCGUCGGUUUCUGUGUGGUGAGCUGGGCCGUAGCAUCAGGUGAGGUGCGUUCUCGCUCUACCGUGGAUACCUUGGGCGCUAAGAGAGCCCGGAGCCUGUGGACGUCGCCGCCGCCCCCAAACCCGGGCUCACCUGUCUCCAAGCGUCGUCGCGACUCGCCACCCCCAAUGAACGCCGUGCCUCCGCCGCCUCCGGCUGCCGCUCCCAAGGUGCCCGGUCCGCAGAUGCCCGUCAACGAUCAGCAGGUCGCACUCUACCAGAGUAUGGACUCCGUCAGCACUGCGCCUGGCGAGGAAGAGAUGUUUCAGGUUCGGACCCUGUUUGUGAGCGGUCUGCCCAUGGACGCCAAGCCCAGAGAGUUGUAUCUACUGUUUCGAGCUUACGAGGGAUAUGAGGGAUCACUGCUAAAAGUAACGAGUAAAAAUGGAAAAACAGCAUCACCGGUUGGGUUCGUGACCUUCAACACACGCGCAGGCGCAGAAGCCGCCAAACAAGAUCUCCAGCAGGGCGUCCGUUUCGAUCCCGACAUGCCGCAGACAAUCCGCCUGGAGUUUGCCAAGAGCAACACCAAGGUUAGCAAGCCCAAACAGCCUGCCGCUAGCAUCACCAACACGCACCCGACUCUAAUGCACCCUCUCACUGGACACUUGGGCGCGCCUUUCUUCCCGGGCGCACACGAGCUGUGGCCGCACCCGUUGACCUACGCGGAGUUGCCUGGUGCGGCGGCCGCCUUGCAGCACGCGCACGCCACCCUAGUGCACCCGGCCCUGCACCCGCAAGUGCCUCCGCCCCUGUCAAUCCCGCAUCCGACUGCGGCGCUGACCGCAAUGCAUGCGGCCGCCUACCUGCCGUCUCCCGCACUGGCCUCUCCCGUCGGCUCCAGUCCAACGUCUCAGCCGGGAAUCAACGUGACGGCUCCCGCGUGCUCCACGCUCUUUGUCGCAAAUCUCGGCCAGUUUGUCUCCGAACACGAACUCAAGGAGAUAUUUAGCAGAAGUGUGGGAAUGCGGCGGCCUGCCACCACCUCCACCUUUUGAUGAUGUCAGUAAUCUUCACAGUGACAGUAACCGUCACAGUGACCGUCACAGUGACAGUCGGUGUGGACCCAUCCGUGGUGAAGAAAACGGACAGUGUUAAUCUGGCGUACGGCCCAGGAGCAGGAGCCGCGUUGAGCAGCACCUGACACUGG